UAGAAUGAGACCGAAUGUGGGAGA
Molecule: non-coding RNA, 24 nt
Filed under: Mus musculus (house mouse)
Lineage: Eukaryota; Metazoa; Chordata; Mammalia; Rodentia; Muridae
Source: RNAcentral